Molecule: ribosomal RNA, 305 nt
Filed under: uncultured bacterium
Lineage: Bacteria
Description: bacterial SSU rRNA
Rfam family: Bacterial small subunit ribosomal RNA
Source: RNAcentral
UACCUACGGGCGCAGCAGUGAGGAAUAUUUGUCAAUGGGCGGGAGCCUGAACCAGCCAAGCCGCGUGAAGGAAGAAGGCGCCAAGCGUCGUAAACUUCUUUUGUCGGGGAACAAAGGGCGCCACGUGUGGCGUUGUGAGUGUACCCGAAGAAAAAGCAUCGGCUAACUCCGUGCCAGCAGCCGCGGUAAUACGUAUGGGGCAAGCGUUAUCCGGAUUUACUGGGUGUAAAGGGAGCGUAGGCGGCCUGGCAAGCCUGAUGUGAAAUACCGGGGCCCAACCCCGGGGCUGCAUUGGGAACUGCCAG